RNAcentral lists this long non-coding RNA (3108 nucleotides) under Homo sapiens (human). RNAcentral's name for it is "non-protein coding LINC00265:24". Lineage: Eukaryota; Metazoa; Chordata; Mammalia; Primates; Hominidae. The record is from RNAcentral.
AGAUCCUGCCGGCUCUGGACUAGCCGCUCAGCACCAGGGCGGAAGGAAGACGAGGCGAGGCAAGCGCCAAGCUUCCAUCCGGACUUCAAGGCCAGUGGCUGGGUCUGGUUUUCUCAACACGGCCUCCUAGUCUCCUUCCCGCUUGGGCAUCUGUUUUUCUUAUAUAGACCCUGAAGCCGCCCGUGAUGUUCUGUAAGCAGGUUCCGCUUCAGAAUCAGAGGUACUUAAGAGGGAACCUGGAUGCUAGACCUGCCCUUGCUGCUGGCCUCAGUUUCUUUACCUGUAAAACAGGGAUUUUGGAACUGUUAAAUUAAAUCAAACUUAAAAGAAUUACAACUUAAAGCUGCUGGAACUUUACAUGAUCCCGAGCCUUGAGAGGAAUGUGGCUAUGCAGCCUGAGUCAUGUGGCAUGCAGAUGCAACCUCUGCCUUUUUCCGCUGUAAAUAAUUAAGAAGACCAAGUAGCAUCCAAGAGUCACCUAAGCUGAAGAUUCCCUUGAGAACAAGUACUGUCCUGUGGUUUCAUGGCCUUUCUUCCAUUUGUGGUUCUUGCCAAGCGGAAUUUAAAUGACAUCUUAUCAAGAUGGAUAAACCCUAGUUUCCCAGUGCUGGAAUAUAGAAAAUGGAUGGACAAGUAAAUCCCACUCAGCACCCAUAGCCCAGGCAUGGGGACCUCAACACAUUUGAGCCGCAGAGAUCACCUUUCAUUGUGAAUAGCUCUGAGAUGAUACUUCUGGUUGAAUGUCUUUUUGUCACUUCCGGCUGGAUCUACCAUGAAAGAUUUCUGAAUCCAGGAAGAGAGAUUGACUGGGCAACAUGUUAUUCAGAAACAGGACCUUGCCCUGUCACUCAGGAUGGAGUUCAGUGGUCCAAUCAUGGCUCAUUGUAGCCUCAAACUCCCAGGCUCAAGCAAUCCUACCACGUCAGUCUUCCCAGUAGCUGACAGGGUCUCACUCUGUCGCCCAGGCUGGAGUGCAGUGGCAUGAUCUUGGCUCACUGUAGUGUAGACUUCCCAGCCUCAAGGGAUCCUCCCACCCCAGACUCCCAAGUAGCUGGAAUUACAGGUCUCAUGCUCUCACUCAGGCUGCAGUACAGUGGCACAACCUCUACUCACUGCAGCCUCUACCUGCCAGGCUCAAGCAAUUCUCCUGACUUAGCCUCCCGAGUAGCUGGGAUUACAGUUGAAGCAUAUGUCCUGUGAGCUUAGGGGUGCUACAAGUUGACCACUGCAGCAGUAAAGAUGAUUCUGAAGAAUGGCAUGGGAUGGAUCCUUUCGAAUGCACUUGAGCAGCGGUCUCCAACCACAGGGCCACAGAGCUGGAGCUGGAUCUACCAUGAAAGACUUCUGAAUCCAGGAAGAGAGACUGACUGGGCAACAUGUUAUUCAGGAGAUGGGGUCUCACCCUGUCGCCCAGGCUUGAGUACAGUAGUGCUAUCACAGCUCACUGCAGCCUUGAACUCCUGGGCUAAGGAUCCUCCUACCUGAGCCUCCUGAGUAGCUGGGACUGUAGGGUCUCCCUCUGUUGUCCAAGGCUGGAGUGUAGUAGUGCUAUCACAGCUGACUGCAGCCUCAACCUUCCAGGCUGAAGCGAUCCUCCCAUCUCAACCUCCCACGUGGCUGAGACUACAGGCGCUUGCCACUAUGCCCAACUAAUAUUUGGAAUUUUCCUAUACGUGGAUUCCAGAGGGGUGACAGCGAAACGUGGGACCAUCCAGUUGCAGGAAAACGAGCUUAACACGCCCACUGAUUCUACAUUAUGCUCCUACCUCCCGGCAGCCUCUCCAGGCCCAGAACUUUCUCCAGUCGGCCUCCACAGACCAAGCUCAUGACUCACAAUGGCCUAUUUAGGCCCAUACCCUACCUCACGGCAGUCUCCGCAGAUGAGGCUACUGCCUCACAACAGCCUCCACAGGCACAGCUCCAUCGUUACAAUGGCCUCUUUAGACCCAGCUCCUGCCUCCCAGCCUUCUCUCUAGGCCCUGAACUUUCUCAAGUCGACGUCACCAGGCCCAGCUCAUGCUUCUUGGCAGCCUCUCCAGGCCCAGCUCUUCCUCCCGGCGGCCUCUGCAGGCCCAGACUGUCAUCAAGUCGGCCUGUCCAGGGCCAGCUCCUGCCUCCCGGCGCCCUCUGCAGGCCCAAGUCGUCCUCAAGUUGGCCUCCCCAGGCCCAGCUCCAGCCUCUCGGCGGCCUCUCCGGGUGCAAAAGUUCCUCGAGUCAGCCUCUCCAGGCCCAGCUCCUCCUGCCUCCCAGUGCCUCUUUCGGCCCAGCCCAGCUCAUGCCUCUGGGCGGCCUUCCCAGGCCCCGCUUUUGACUUUUGGCGGCCUCUGCAGGCCUCGACAAGGCCCGGCCUCCUGCCUCCCGAAGCCUGCACAGGCCCAGCCUCUGCCUCACAGCAGACUCUCCACGCCCAGCUAGCUCUCGCCUCACUGCGGCCUCCCCAGUCCAAAGCUCCUGCCUCUCGGCCGCUUCGGCAGGCCCAGCUCCCGCCUGCCAGUGCCUCUUCAGGCCCAUGGGGCUCAUUCCUCACAACGGCCUUUCCAGGCCCCGUUUUUCCCUUCCGGCGGCCUCUCCGGGCCCAGAACCUCCUCAAGUUGGCCUCUCCAGACCCACUUGCACCCUCCGGGCGUCCUCUCCAGGCCCAGCUCUUCCUCCCGGCUGCGUCUCCAGGCCCGACUCCUGCCUCCCAACAACCUCUUUGGACUCAGUGCCUGCCCAUCUCCUGGCGGCCUUGGUCGGCCCACAGCUUCCUCAAGCCAAGCUCCCCAGGCCCAGGUCAGGCCUCACGGUGGCCUCUCCAGGAUCAGCUCCUGCCCUCCGAUGGUGUCUCCAGGCCCCAAAUGGUCUCCGGCCAGUGGGCUCCUCCACGCCCAGCUUGGGCCUCCCGGCGACCUCUGCAGGCCCAAGUCGUCCUGAAGUCGGCCUCUCCCGGCCCUGCCUCCCAGCAAGUAAGCAAGCUUUUUUGGCUUAGCUCCUGCCCAGCUCCCAACCGCCUUUGUAGGCCCCGAACUUUCUCCAGCCAAGCUCUUCGGGCCCACCUCCUGCCUCCCGGUGGCCUGUACAGGCCCAGCUCUGGCUGGAGAACAGCCUCUGCAGGCCCCGCUCUUGCCU